GCACAAGCGGUGGAGCAUGUGUUAAUUCGAAGCAACGCGAAGAACCUUACCAGGUCUUGACAUCCCGAUGCUAUUUCUAGAGAUAGAAAGUUACUUCGGUACAUCGGUGACAGGUGGUGCAUGGUUGUCGUCAGCUCGUGUCGUGAGAUGUUGGGUUAAGUCCCGCAACGAGCGCAACCCCUAUUGUUAGUUGCCAUCAUUCAGUUGGGCACUCUAGCGAGACUGCCGGUAAUAAACCGGAGGAAGGUGGGGAUGACGUCAAAUCAUCAUGCCCCUUAUGACCUGGGCUACACACGUGCUACAAUGGUUGGUACAACGAGUUGCGAGUCGGUGACGGCGAGCUAAUCUCUUAAAGCCAAUCUCAGUUCGGAUUGUAGGCUGCAACUCGCCUACAUGAAGUCGGAAUCGCUAGUAAUCGCAGAUCAGAAUGCUGCGGUGAAUACGUUCCCGGGCCUU
RNAcentral lists this ribosomal RNA (456 nucleotides) under uncultured Streptococcus sp. Its description in RNAcentral is "bacterial SSU rRNA". It matches the Rfam family "Bacterial small subunit ribosomal RNA", at positions 923 to 1382 of the family's 1533-position model. The record is from RNAcentral. Lineage: Bacteria; Bacillati; Bacillota; Bacilli; Lactobacillales; Streptococcaceae.